GCAAAUUACUCACUGGUGUUUCAGUGUGCCAUUGCUGUUGCUUUUCACUUGGGAUUAUUAAAAAGCUCCUAUAGCUGAUCUACAAGGGCAAAAUCGAGACAUUCUGGAUACAAGGGCUAUUUUUUCAGUCCAGUUGAGGAGGAUGAUUUGUAGCAACUGUGCAUAUGGCACUAAUUAAUGGGAUUUGAGUAGACUUUGGCAUAGCUUCCUGCCUAAAGAAAAAGAAAAGAGGUAACAACAGAUUUGCUGUGUGCCUUUCACUGCUUCUUAUGAAAUGUUAUAUGUACUCCUGAAGUUUUUAUUUUCAAUCAUAGUCACAUAGUCAUUUCUACAGUAAUUUUAUCAGAUGGAUAGGACGUUCAAGCAACUUUUGAAAAUUCCUUGUGCUCUGCAUUAUGAAGUCUGUUAGCCAUACUUGGCACAGACUACAAAUCUGACCCUGAUUUUCAGGCUUUCAAAGGGCCAAAAUAAAAUUAUUGUUCUCUAAUACAUUUUUUCUUCACAUUUAUUCGAGUGUGCAUUAGCUGUACAUCCAACAAAAUUGCAUUUUACUCCUUCGUUUUAGGCUUAAGUAGCAGUCGCAGGAGAUUAAAUGCAGUUAAGCAUAACGAAGCGUGAGGAUGACAAGAAAAAUGAAGCAGAGGUGCCUUAUCUCCCAAUUCAUCGCAGUACAAAUUUUAUAUUCCAGACACAAAUGCCACUUUGGGAUUGAAAUCGUACUACGUGAACCCGUGUGAGUGAAGCAGCUGAGGCAUAGGGAGAUAGCCUUGCCAGGUACCUGUCCAGGUGACCUGCAGAUGAAAGAACAAAAUGCAGAUUUCUGUGAUGUAAUCCAGUGCUCAAGCACAUCUUUUUGCAUAAAUGAUGGUAGGUCGAACUGUUGCAAGCAUUGUGGAAAUGAUGCAGCCCAAAUUGCUGAGGAGCUUACACUAGUGAAAUAGACAGGUAACCUGAGAGACAAUAAUAUAGCUCCUGAGAAGAAUAUUGUCCCCAGGAAGUUAGAUGGAGGUCCGAUCAGUUGGCCAAAGAUCUGCAUUAAAAAUAGUGUGUUUUUACUAAAACAGGCACUCUGCAUUUUUGUAUAUGUUUGUCAUUAAGUUAGAUGGUACUCUAUUCGAGGAAGGACACUUUCUAUGUAGGCCUUCAAAGCCAUUCCCAUCUCAGUGCUAGGAAAUGUGCAGCUGAAUUGUAAAUUUGCAUAGAGGUGAAGGAUGAGGAUGCUAAAAAAUUGUUCCUCCUCUCCCAUCAUCUUAAAUGAUGAGCAAAAUGUGAGGCUUCUUAUGAACUCACCAAGCCCACUGUAUCUACUGUACCCACGGCCAACAGCAUUCAUGGGAUUUGUGUGACUCACCAUUGAGCGCUAUCCUUCGUGAAGGCACUACACUGAAUAGCUAAAUACAGACACUAAUUUUAUUUGAUUAAAUGUACAUAUUCCACUUCCUCUAUAUGCUCUUAUGAAGUCAUUACCCAUUAUGAUAGCUUUUUAAAGCAUAAAAUGGCGUUGUUCUUUCCCUUCCUAGAAAGGGAUGGAGGCACGCUGUUACAAAGCCUCCCAUUUCUAAGGCUUGUGUAAGAUGUACCACAGAACAUUUGGUGUUGCAUAUUGUUCAUAUUGAAAACUCUGACGAGUGAGCAAGCUCUUUACACACUGCAUUUUUCCUCUUUUUUCUUCUUAUUGCCAGUUUGCAGUGGCAACAUGCUGAUGGUGUGAAUUAGUCAUUAGUUUAUGACGCCGAGGAAAAGGACCACGUGAAAAUUGUAAGUUAGAAUUCUAUUAGCAGGACUGAGUCUCUUCAUUCUCAGUGCAGAAGUGCAGUACAACAGAAGAACAAAUACAUUCUGCAGGUGGAGAGAAGAGCCGUGGGUUCAUGAAGCCCCAGUUGGUAGUAAAGCAGUUCACAGCACAGACCUUUCUGUGGAGAAGCUCAUGCAGCCGGCCGGCCAGCAAGCAGUUCUCACACUGCAGCAUCACGCUUAGCUGUGUCAAGCAACAUAUAAAUCAUGAAGACAAAGUGCUGUUGAGCAACAAGGCAGCUUUUCCCGGCCAGGUCAGUAAGAAGAAACCACAGUUAUCAAAUCAGUGUCUUGGCAUUGAAACUGCACAGCACCUCAGUGGAGCAGGUUAGUGGGAUCGGGUCCCUUCCUCCAGAGGAAGGUUUGUGCUGCUGUUUGGCCUCACCCACCUUCAGGCAGCUGAGUUUCUGUUGACUUGAAAGGAAAGCAAAAAGUGUGAAGUGCUGCUAAAAGGCCUCGUAUUGUCUGACAUCCUGUGACAAGAAAAAAAUAAACAACUUUGACCACAAGCCGUAAUGACUCUUACCUCUGUGUAAGCUGUCAGUGGCAUCAGUACUGCUGCAUCCUGCUUUUGGUUUUGCCUUGCUCGCUUGUGUUAUUCCGUGCAUUGCACAAAAAGCUUCCAGGACAUCUCCUGUAAGCCGGACUCUGGGAGCAGUUACAGCUGCCAGCCCAGCAAUAAAAAUACUGGGCCUAAAAGUCAUCCUGGUUUUGUUGUCUGUCACUGCAGUUUCCACGUGCAGAAGCAGCUACAUGGGAACUGCUACCUCCAACCAGGAGCAGCUGUCGGGAGGAACACCUAUCCAUGUGGCUCUGUGACAGUGUUGCAAGAUACCACAUUUGAUCUCUGGGUAAAAUAGAAAAGGCAGAAUGGUAUUUUUUUUUUUUUUUUUUUUACAUCCCAACUAAAGAGAGAGAAGUGCAAGCAGUGCCAUGUAUGAACACUUACAUUUUCAGCACAAAUACCAGCCCUUCUGGGCACGCUGCUCUGAAAAGUCUGGUGCUUUAGCAGAUAGCAGCUCACAGAUAGAUCCGUGUGCUUUCAGAAAUGCAAAUGCUUUUGAGAAGUGCCUUUCAGCUCAGCCUGGUAGAGCAGAGCGCCCUAAGCAACUCCCAGUGGGCUCCUGUUUCUCCCCUCUGGGCUUCACACACACCUAAAGCCACCUUCCUUCCAGGUGAGUGGAAAUGCCUGCACCUCUCCUUGGGCAGGGACAGAGGAAAGCAAAACUGUAUCCGAAGGACGUUGCAUUAUUUCAGAGAGGGAAAAAAACAUGCACUUAAUUAUGGGGCAGCACAUUCCGUGAGAUUCCUAUCUACUGCAAUCAGACGAUUUCUGUGCUGUCCUUCUGGAGCAAACAUUUCUGACUGAAGUUGUGAUGAAGAGGACGUGGUAGCUAAAUGGGCAAACCAUUAAUUAUCCUUCAGUUUUCCAUCUAUGCUUUUGAGUCCCCUGCAUCAGGUGGAAAUGACGUCUCCUUGUCCUCCAUGUACAGGGGGCAAAGGUGGCAGUGAUGCGUUUUCACCUCUAACUCAAGGCAGUGGGACAUUUCCCCGCCUUCUAACAACUCCCUGUUACCAGGUCUCCUCUCCCCUGCUCAACAGCUUUUUUAUUCAAGACAGCAGGGAAUUAAGCUCAUCAAACACACUGCCUCCAGCGUGCAGUCUGACACACUGGACUAAUAAUAGUUUUCCUGUCGCCACAAAAUAUCACAUUUAUGUGUGGCAUCCAUGGAGCCAACCAAAGCGAGCUACAUGGCCACACGUCUGCACAUACCUAUUCACAGUGGUGGGCACCAGGAAAGGACAGACAGCAGAGCUGCCUUCCACAUACAGCACACUCAGUGCACCUUGGACAGGUUUCCUUCCCUGUAAGCUCUGUAAUUGCCGUCAUUAAUGCUAAGUAGAAUGACAGCAAAACUGUAAUCCCAUAAACGUAAUGCAGUAGCAUAUAAAAAGUUAAAAUUUGUCAAUUUUAUUAAGUAGCUAACCAGCAUUUCCCUUCUGUCAUGUAUUAGGAGAGCCGCUAAGAUGAUCAGAGGGCUGGAGCCCCUCUCCUAUGAAGAAUGGCUGAGGGAAUGGGGCUUGUUUAGCUUGGAGAAGAGAAGGCUCCGAGGAGACCUCAUUGCAACCUUCCAGUACUUGAAGGGAGUGUAUAAACAAGAGGGGGUAACAACUGCUUAUGACGGUGGAUAGUGAUAAGACAAGGGGCAAUGGUCUUACACCUGAGUGCCACGCUUCAGCCUUUGGACGUGCAUCGCUGUACCAUUGCGCUGAGCGACCACUGGGUGGCAAUGUCAACCUCCUGGAAAACACGGCCCUGUAUUUGCCGGUUUCAGCCCCCUUUCCCUCUCCUCCCCUUCUGUUCUUUUUGUUAUUUUCUUCUCUGGACGGAGAUUUUGUUUAACAACUUCCAGAAGCGAUAAGGAUGUACGGUUGUUGGUAGAAUUUGUCUUCCGUCAAGAAAACUCAAGGAAGUGACGAGGAAACCAUCACAGAACGCAGCCAGGGCGCCGCCCGCAGCCACCCCCCACACUGAUUCCCUGCGGGUUCCCACGGCACAGCCCGGUGCUCAGAGUGCCCCCAGGAAGCAGACACAGCACAAAGCCCAACGGGAAGGGGCUGCCCACGCUGCAGUCUGCUGGGGCUCCCAGCAGCAGAGCUCUCCUCUUUGUGUCUCGUUUUGCUCAGCUUCUUCGUUCAUUCAAAGCUGCCUGCGGAGACGGAUGGAGAGGAAGCGUACCAGACAGGGCAGCUCUUACAGCUCCUGUUUUGUUCUCCAGUCACCUCUUUCCCCACAGCUUCAGCACAGAGUGUGCUUUAUGCAAUGUCUUCUUUCUUUCAGGCACGAAACAAAACUGUCCCUCAGUGCUGAGCGGCACCGUGCCGGCUCUCCAUCGAGCAGAUAGGAGUAAUUACAGGGAUUACAAAUGUG
RNAcentral lists this long non-coding RNA (4726 nucleotides) under Gallus gallus (chicken). Lineage: Eukaryota; Metazoa; Chordata; Aves; Galliformes; Phasianidae. The record is from RNAcentral.